This 2609-nucleotide ribosomal RNA is filed under the name Streptococcus pneumoniae. Its description in RNAcentral is "bacterial LSU rRNA". It matches the Rfam family "Bacterial large subunit ribosomal RNA", at positions 3 to 2613 of the family's 2925-position model. The record is from RNAcentral. Lineage: Bacteria; Bacillati; Bacillota; Bacilli; Lactobacillales; Streptococcaceae.
UUAAGUUAGAAAGGGCGCACGGUGGAUGCCUUGACACUAGGAGUCGAUGAAGGACGGGACUAACGCCGAUAUGCUUCGGGGAGCUGUAAGUAAGCUUUGAUCCGAAGAUUUCCGAAUGGGGAAACCCACCAUACGUAAUGGUAUGGUAUCCUUAUCUGAAUACAUAGGGUAAGGAAGACAGACCCAGGGAACUGAAACAUCUAAGUACCUGGAGGAAGAGAAAGCAAAUGCGAUUUCCUGAGUAGCGGCGAGCGAAACGGAACAUAGCCCAAACCAAGAGGCUUGCCUCUUGGGGUUGUAGGACAUUCUAUACGGAGUUACAAAGGAACGAGGUAGACGAAGCGACCUGGAAAGGUCCGUCGUAGAGGGUAACAACCCCGUAGUCGAAACUUCGUUCUCUCUUGAAUGUAUCCUGAGUACGGCGGAACACGUGAAAUUCCGUCGGAAUCUGGGAGGACCAUCUCCCAAGGCUAAAUACUCCCUAGUGAUCGAUAGUGAACCAGUACCGUGAGGGAAAGGUGAAAAGCACCCCGGAAGGGGAGUGAAAGAGAUCCUGAAACCGUGUGCCUACAAAUAGUCAGAGCCCGUUAACGGGUGAUGGCGUGCCUUUUGUAGAAUGAACCGGCGAGUUACGAUCCCGUGCGAGGUUAAGCUGAAGAGGCGGAGCCGCAGCGAAAGCGAGUCUGAAUAGGGCGUUUAGUACGUGGUCGUAGACCCGAAACCAGGUGAUCUACCCAUGUCCAGGGUGAAGUUCAGGUAACACUGAAUGGAGGCCCGAACCCACGCACGUUGAAAAGUGCGGGGAUGAGGUGUGGGUAGCGGAGAAAUUCCAAUCGAACCUGGAGAUAGCUGGUUCUCCCCGAAAUAGCUUUAGGGCUAGCCUUAAGUGUAAGAGUCUUGGAGGUAGAGCACUGAUUGGACUAGGGGUCCUCAUCGGAUUACCGAAUUCAGUCAAACUCCGAAUGCCAAUGACUUAUCCUUAGGAGUCAGACUGCGAGUGAUAAGAUCCGUAGUCAAAAGGGAAACAGCCCAGACCGCCAGCUAAGGUCCCAAAGUGUGUAUUAAGUGGAAAAGGAUGUGGAGUUGCUUAGACAACUAGGAUGUUGGCUUAGAAGCAGCCACCAUUUAAAGAGUGCGUAAUAGCUCACUAGUCGAGUGACUCUGCGCCGAAAAUGUACCGGGGCUAAAUACACCACCGAAGCUGCGGAUUGAUACCGAAUGGUAUCAGUGGUAGGGGAGCGUUCUAAGGACAGUGAAGUCAGACCGGAAGGACUGGUGGAGUGCUUAGAAGUGAGAAUGCCGGUAUGAGUAGCGAAAGACGGGUGAGAAUCCCGUCCACCGAAUGCCUAAGGUUUCCUGAGGAAGGCUCGUCCGCUCAGGGUUAGUCAGGACCUAAGCCGAGGCCGACAGGCGUAGGCGAUGGACAACAGGUUGAUAUUCCUGUACCACCUCUUUAUCGUUUGAGCAAUGGAGGGACGCAGAAGGAUAGAAGAAGCGUGCGAUUGGUUGUGCACGUCCAAGCAGUUAGGCUGAUAAGUAGGCAAAUCCGCUUAUCGUAAAGGCUGAGCUGUGAUGGGGAAGCUCCUUAUGGAGCGAAGUCUUUGAUUCCCCGCUGCCAAGAAAAGCUUCUAGCGAGAUAAAAGGUGCCUGUACCGCAAACCGACACAGGUAGGCGAGGAGAGAAUCCUAAGGUGUGCGAGAGAACUCUGGUUAAGGAACUCGGCAAAAUGACCCCGUAACUUCGGGAGAAGGGGUGCUUUCUUAACGGAAAGCCGCAGUGAAUAGGCCCAAGCGACUGUUUAGCAAAAACACAGCUCUCUGCGAAGCCGUAAGGCGAAGUAUAGGGGGUGACACCUGCCCGGUGCUGGAAGGUUAAGGAGAGGGGUUAGCGUAAGCGAAGCUCUGAACUGAAGCCCCAGUAAACGGCGGCCGUAACUAUAACGGUCCUAAGGUAGCGAAAUUCCUUGUCGGGUAAGUUCCGACCCGCACGAAAGGUGUAACGAUUUGGGCACUGUCUCAACCAGAGACUCGGUGAAAUUAUAGUACCUGUGAAGAUGCAGGUUACCCGCGACAGGACGGAAAGACCCCGUGGAGCUUUACUGUAGCCUGAUAUUGAAUUUUGGUACAGUUUGUACAGGAUAGGCGGGAGCCUUUGAAACCGGAGCGCUAGCUUCGGUGGAGGCGCUGGUGGGAUACCGCCCUGACUGUAUUGAAAUUCUAACCUACGGGUCUUAUCGACCCGGGAGACAGUGUCAGGUGGGCAGUUUGACUGGGGCGGUCGCCUCCUAAAGUGUAACGGAGGCGCCCAAAGGUUCCCUCAGAAUGGUUGGAAAUCAUUCGUAGAGUGCAAAGGCAUAAGGGAGCUUGACUGCGAGACCUACAAGUCGAGCAGGGACGAAAGUCGGGCUUAGUGAUCCGGUGGUUCCGCAUGGAAGGGCCAUCGCUCAACGGAUAAAAGCUACCCCGGGGAUAACAGGCUUAUCUCCCCCAAGAGUCCACAUCGACGGGGAGGUUUGGCACCUCGAUGUCGGCUCAUCGCAUCCUGGGGCUGUAGUCGGUCCCAAGGGUUGGGCUGUUCGCCCAUUAAAGCGGUACGCGAGCUGGGUUCA